UCAGCUGGUCCAGACCAGUUGCCUGCCAGAUU
This 32-nucleotide small RNA is filed under the name Bombyx mori (domestic silkworm). RNAcentral's name for it is "ovarian small RNA-25728". The record is from RNAcentral. Lineage: Eukaryota; Metazoa; Arthropoda; Insecta; Lepidoptera; Bombycidae.